AAAAAAUUCAACCAUUCUUCGGCAGCCCUCACAACUCACAUCACGAACGCACCAUGUUGAAGACAUGUAUUUCAUCACAAGUGAUAAGUUUCUUCCGUUAAAUUGCCUUGUGGUUGUACUUGCCAUGUUUCGGAGAAAACAAUAGCAGGGCCACUCUUUAUCAUUUUUUGUGUUAGUGCAGUAAUUUAUGUGGUUGUCGAGGAAGAUAAAAUUGCUAACAAUGGGCCACCAUUCGGGGUGGACAACAGAUGGGGAAGUGUGAUCAUGGUUCAGGUUGCAAUUUUGGACAAGAAAAGGGUGUUGCAGAGGAAGCUUAACAGAAUUGCUGGGACUGCGGAUACAGAGACCAAAAGCAGUUUGAAUUGUGUAUUGAAAG
Long non-coding RNA from Daucus carota subsp. sativus, 376 nucleotides. RefSeq lists it as uncharacterized. The transcript has 3 exons. Lineage: Eukaryota; Viridiplantae; Streptophyta; Magnoliopsida; Apiales; Apiaceae. The record is from RefSeq and is a predicted model, not a curated record.